AGCAAUGAACACGAAAAGAAAGUUUAUCACACUGCAAGUGAUUAAGAUUGGAAAUCUGCUGCUUGAGAGCACGUUGAAGAAAGAGCGGGAGCAGCAGGGGAAGUGACGGCUACCAGAGGGGCAACCGGGAAGGGAAACACAUUUGAAAAAGAAAAUAGUUCUGUGAAGUAACCUACCAUCUCAUGAAAUUCAAUUUGCUGCUGUAG
This is a long non-coding RNA of Hemiscyllium ocellatum (epaulette shark), 206 nucleotides long. RefSeq lists it as uncharacterized. Lineage: Eukaryota; Metazoa; Chordata; Chondrichthyes; Orectolobiformes; Hemiscylliidae. The transcript has 3 exons. The record is from RefSeq and is a predicted model, not a curated record.